This 518-nucleotide ribosomal RNA is filed under the name Pseudagrilus beryllinus. RNAcentral describes it as "partial 16S ribosomal RNA". It matches the Rfam family "Bacterial large subunit ribosomal RNA", at positions 1814 to 2610 of the family's 2925-position model. The record is from RNAcentral. Lineage: Eukaryota; Metazoa; Arthropoda; Insecta; Coleoptera; Buprestidae.
CAUGGCCUUUUGUUUAAAAUUUAAGGUUUGACCUGCCCAAUGAGGAUUUAAAUGGCCGCGAUAUUUUGAUCGUGCGAAGGUAGCAUAAUCAUUAGUUCUUUAAUUGAGAGCUUGUAUGAAGGGUUGGACGAGAAGAAUACUGUCUCAUUAUUGAAAGUUGAAUUUUAUUUUUAAGUCAAAAAGCUUAAAUGAAUUUAAAAGACGAGAAGACCCUAUAGAGUUUAAAUAAUUUAAAUUAUUAGAAUUUUAAGAAUUUAUUGUUUUAAUUUUGGUUAUUAUUUUGUUGGGGUGACAGGGAGAUUAAUGAAACUCUUUUUUAAUUAAAUACUGAUUUGUAUAUAGAUGACUUGUAUAAUCAUAUAAAAGUUAAAUUACCUUAGGGAUAACAGCGUUAUUUGUUUGGAGAGUUCAAAUCGAUAAACAAGAUUGCGACCUCGAUGUUGGAUUAAGGUAAAUGUUUGGUGUAGCAGCUAAAUAAUUUAGUCUGUUCGACUAUUAAAUCCUUACAUGAUCUGAGU